GCUCCUUCUCCUCCUAUUUUCGCCCUCUCAUUCCCAUCACAAUUACGUAGCGCAAUGUUUAGAGAGCAUGGGAACCAAAGAGAGCGAGUGCGCGGGAAUCAAGUGCACUAACUAACCCUAGAGAGUGAGAGGACACUUUUGACCCCUGA
This is a non-coding RNA of Caenorhabditis elegans, 149 nucleotides long. The record is from Ensembl. Lineage: Eukaryota; Metazoa; Nematoda; Chromadorea; Rhabditida; Rhabditidae.